This 497-nucleotide ribosomal RNA is filed under the name uncultured bacterium. RNAcentral's name for it is "partial 16S ribosomal RNA". It matches the Rfam family "Bacterial small subunit ribosomal RNA", at positions 28 to 507 of the family's 1533-position model. The record is from RNAcentral.
GAUGAACGCUGGCGGCGUGCCUAAUACAUGCAAGUCGAGCGAACAGACUAUUAUCUUGCUCCUCUUACUUUAUCUUCUUACUUGUUAUUAACACUUUGAUAACCUACCUAUAAGACUGGGAUAACUUCGGGAAACCGGAGCUAAUACCGGAUAAUAUAUUGAACCGCAUGGUUCAAUAGUGAAAGACGGUUUUGCUGUCACUUAUAGAUGGAUCCGCGCCGCAUUAGCUAGUUGGUAAGGUAACGGCUUACCAAGGCAACGAUGCGUAGCCGACCUGAGAGGGUGAUCGGCCACACUGGAACUGAGACACGGUCCAGACUCCUACGGGAGGCAGCAGUAGGGAAUCUUCCGCAAUGGGCGAAAGCUUGACGGAGCAACGCCGCGUGAGUGAUGAAGGUCUUCGGAUCGUAAAACUCUGUUAUUAGGGAAGAACAAAUGUGUAAGUAACUAUGCACGUCUUGACGGUACCUAAUCAGAAAGCCACGGCUAACUACGUG